AACGAACGCUGGCGGCAGGCCUCAAACAUGCAAGUCGAGGGGGCGUAGCAAUACGUCACCGGCGGACGGGUGCGUAACACGUGGGAAUGUACCUAGUGGUUCGGAACAACGCUUGGAAACGAGUGCUAAUACCGGAUGUGCCCGAAAGGGGAAAGAUUUAUCGCCACUAGAUCAGCCCGCGCAGGAUUAGCUAGUUGGUAGGGUAAUGGCCUACCAAGGCUCCGAUCCUUAGCUGUUCUGAGAGGAAGAUCAGCCACACUGGGACUGAGACACGGCCCAGACUCCCACGGGAGGCAGCAGUUGGGAAUCUUGGACAAUGGGCGAAAGCCUGAUCCAGCCAUGCCGCGUGAGUGAUGAAGGCCUUAGGGUUGUAAAGCUCUUUUACCCGGGAAGAUAAUGACGGUACCGGGAGAAUAGGCUCCGGCUAACUUCGUGCCAGCCGCCGCAGUAA
Molecule: ribosomal RNA, 451 nt
Filed under: uncultured bacterium
Lineage: Bacteria
Description: partial 16S ribosomal RNA
Rfam family: Bacterial small subunit ribosomal RNA
Source: RNAcentral